This is a long non-coding RNA of Pezoporus flaviventris, 1775 nucleotides long. RefSeq lists it as uncharacterized. The transcript is spliced from 2 exons. The record is from RefSeq and is a predicted model, not a curated record. Lineage: Eukaryota; Metazoa; Chordata; Aves; Psittaciformes; Psittacidae.
UGGAAAAUGCCAUAAUCUUCCUUUUACUUCUAUGCAUGGAGAAGUGGCAAAGACAGGGUUCUUUCUCCCAAGGUAAGGGACAUAACUGGGGAGGGAUGGUCUUUUGCUGACACAGCCACAUCCAGCCAAGCUGCUUGAUCAGAGCCCUGGAGCGAAUGCAGCCAGCCAGACAUCUAACAGUACCACAGUCUCUGUCACACUGAGCACUCUUGCCUUAAGCUUUUUAAUGGAUGGUUUAUGGUCCAAAUAAUUCUGAGCGGGAUUCUUUAAAAACAUGCUGUGUUGGUUUAACUUCCCAUUAAAACAAAAAUCCUUCUAAGACUUCAUGCAACCAGUAGGAGCAAAAUUAGGCCAAAGUCAAACACCUCUGAAAACCUGCCCUUCACACAUGCUGAGCAGGGCUGUGGUGGGAGAAGAGCAGUGGUUUACAUUUAGAUUGACCACUGCAGCGCCAGUUUGCUAACAUGAUUUUCUAAGGUGCCAUCUUUACAGAGCUGGGCUUUCUUUCCCUCCUUUUUUUUUUUUUUUUUUUUUCCCCUUUUGUUUUUUUUUCUGCUUUACUUUGAUAUUAUUUUUAAUGUGACUUUUUGGACCAGAGAAACAGUUAGCGUAGUGCUCUUUUGCAACUUGGCUCCAGCCAGUGUCUCUGGGUGAUACAAAAGCUAACAUUAUUUUGCAAUAACUCCCAUCCCGAUGCACAGUGUGAGUGCAGCCCUCUAACAGAGGAGCUCAGGAGUUUCCUACACUAAUUGUACCCCCGCCAGUUGCUGAUUUCCCCGCAGCAGCACAAGCCAGACUUUCUUACAGGCUGUUAAUAUUUUCCACUCCAAUACCCAGUGCCAAGUUCUCCCACGGCUUGCUACAAGUUUCCUGACAAGAUACGCUUUUAGCACGACGCACGGGGUAUUCAAGCAGGAAGCCGAGGCUGGGCUCCCCCCACCCCACUGGCUGGCACCCGAGGAGGGCCUGGGCAGUGAGGUGGGGAUGGCCUCCUAGGCCUUCCCAGCGAACCCCUCAGGCCAUGGCGGGCUUGCACGAGGAUGGCUGAAAUCAGAGGGCUGCUCGCUGAGGCCCACAGUUGUGCCACCACCCGGCCCGAGACACAACGACAUGACAUGACGUUUGCUGGGGAAAGCAGACAUGUGUGAUGCCAACAGCUGAGGGGGAAGCUGGGGCACGGCUCCAGGCAAGCGGUGGUGACUAAGCUGUGCCAGCCCCAAGGAGACCAGAGGACACAGUGACUCAGAGGCACACCUCUGGCUCCCCAUCCUUCCCUGGCGUCGUCCGGCGUGGAGGGGGGCCAGCCACAAACCGCAGAACACCCCCGUGUCUCCCUGGAGUGGGCACACACUUCUGCAGGGUGUCUGUACCCAGAAAGCCGCCCCUGGCCUCCUCUGCCCAUGUUUGGAGCCGCAGUGGGGCUGGGCAAGAGUGGGACAUGGCCAGCCCAAGGGAGAUGGCCCUGCCCUUUGGGACAGCCAAAAAGAGAGCUUGGAGCUGCCCCGGCCAAGGGAGCCCCACAGUUAAAAAAUGAUCUGGCAGGGGCAAGGAGACAGCAGAAAAUAUGUCUGUGCUGGCCAGGAGACAGAGGAAGGGACAAGUCGGUACUGCUACUUGAAACUAAAACAGGCCUAAUGCGCCAGUUUUGGGGGGCUCAGAAACAUGCCCUCCAAGAACUGUAUGGCUGCUGAUAAAGGCAGUAUGAGUCAUUUGAGUCCACUCAUUCUUACUGUAACAUGGAGGAAAAAGAAAAACUAAAAAGCCCCAAAAUCUGG